Molecule: long non-coding RNA, 480 nt
Organism: Sapajus apella (tufted capuchin)
Lineage: Eukaryota; Metazoa; Chordata; Mammalia; Primates; Cebidae
Exons: 3
Source: RefSeq, a predicted model, not a curated record
UGUAUCAGACCUGACCAGAAUGCAAUGCAUUGUACUAUUAGGACCACUAUUCCAAUUAGUGGCAGAUACAGAACCUCAGCUCUCAAUGUGAAAGCCCACCAGAAAGAUGAAUGCUAACUAUGGGAGCAACAGCAGAAGGGAAAACCUUCUGUGCUCGUCUUUGGGUCCAUUUUCAGGAUAUGGAUACUAACUGCUCCAUUUUCUUAUUUGGACCUCUAGGUCUAUCUACUCUUUGUCUUCCGCGAUCUUCCUGGAUGCAUUUUGUGGUCUGCUGGUAAGAUUUCUUGCAUUCCUUGUUUUCUGAGAUAUCUUUACAUUCUUUUGUCUACUAAGGUGCAAGGUAAAAUACACCUGUCUUUGACUUGCGUAUGUUCGCAUACCUUGCUGAUUUUAUGUUUGUGUGUCUCAAUUAGAAUAUGGGCUUUUAAAAAUGCCUUUUCAAUGCUGUUAUUACUUUUUUUUCCUGCUUUCAAACUUUGA